Molecule: non-coding RNA, 84 nt
Organism: Leopardus geoffroyi (Geoffroy's cat)
Lineage: Eukaryota; Metazoa; Chordata; Mammalia; Carnivora; Felidae
Source: the annotation of a RefSeq genome assembly
GCCUGGGUGGCUCAGUCGGUUGAGUAUCCGACUCCGGCUCGGGUCACCAUCUCACAGUCGUGAGUUCGAGCCCCGCCUCGGGCU